RNAcentral lists this ribosomal RNA (505 nucleotides) under uncultured bacterium. Its description in RNAcentral is "partial 16S ribosomal RNA". It matches the Rfam family "Bacterial small subunit ribosomal RNA", at positions 28 to 507 of the family's 1533-position model. The record is from RNAcentral.
GACGAACGCUGGCGGCGUGCCUAAUACAUGCAAGUAGAACGCACAGUUUAUACCGUAGCUUGCUACACCAUAGACUGUGAGUUGCGAACGGGUGAGUAACGCGUAGGUAACCUGCCUGGUAGCGGGGGAUAACUAUUGGAAACGAUAGCUAAUACCGCAUAAUAUUGAUUAUUGCAUGAUAAUUAAUUGAAAGGUGCAAUUGCACCACUACCAGAUGGACCUGCGUUGUAUUAGCUAGUAGGUGAGGUAACGGCUCACCUAGGCGACGAUACAUAGCCGACCUGAGAGGGUGAUCGGCCACACUGGGACUGAGACACGGCCCAGACUCCUACGGGAGGCAGCAGUAGGGAAUCUUCGGCAAUGGACGAAAGUCUGACCGAGCAACGCCGCGUGAGUGAAGAAGGGUUUCGGAUCGGAAAGCUCUGUUGUAAGAGAAGAACGGGUGUGAGAGUGGAAAGUUCACACUGUGACGGUAUCUUACCAGAAAGGGACGGCUAACUACGUG